AUUGAAACUAACAAGGAUUCCCCUAGUAGCGGCGAGCGAAGCGGGAAGAGCUCAAAUUUAUAAUCUGGCACCUUCGGUGUCCGAGUUGUAAUCUCUAGAAGUGUUUUCCGCGUUGGACCGCACACAAGUCUGUUGGAAUACAGCGGCAUAGUGGUGAAACCCCCGUAUAUGGUGCGGACGCCCAGCGCUUUGUGAUACACUUUCAAUGAGUCGAGUUGUUUGGGAAUGCAGCUCAAAUUGGGUGGUAAAUUCCAUCUAAAGCUAAAUAUUGGCGAGAGACCGAUAGCGAACAAGUACCGUGAGGGAAAGAUGAAAAGCACUUUGGAAAGAGAGUUAACAGUACGUGAAAUUGUUGGAAGGGAAACGCUUGAAGUCAGACUUGCUUGCCGGAGCUUGCUUCGGUUUGCAGGCCAGCAUCAGUUUUCCGGGGUGGAUAAUGACGGUUUGAAGGUAGCAGUCUCGGCUGUGUUAUAGCUUUCCGUUGGAUACAUCCUGGGGGACUGAGG
This 506-nucleotide ribosomal RNA is filed under the name Rhodotorula sp. ST12.14/495. Its description in RNAcentral is "eukaryotic LSU rRNA". It matches the Rfam family "Eukaryotic large subunit ribosomal RNA", at positions 58 to 567 of the family's 3401-position model. The record is from RNAcentral. Lineage: Eukaryota; Fungi; Basidiomycota; Microbotryomycetes; Sporidiobolales; Sporidiobolaceae.